GAUGAACGCUGGCGGCGUGCCUAAUACAUGCAAGUCGAGCGAACAGAUGAGGAGCUUGCUCCUCUGACGUUAGCGGCGGACGGGUGAGUAACACGUGGAUAACCUACCUAUAAGACUGGGAUAACUUCGGGACACCGGAGCUAAUACCUGAUAAUAUCUUGAACCGCAUGGUUCAAUAGUGAAAGACGGUUUUGCUGUCACUUAUAGAUGGAUCCGCGCCGCAUUAGCUAGUUGGUAAGGUAACGGCUUACCAAGGCAACGAUGCGUAGCCGACCUGAGAGGGUGAUCGGCCACACUGGAACUGAGACACGGUCCAGACUCCUACGGGAGGCAGCAGUAGGGAAUCUUCCGCAAUGGGCGAAAGCCUGACGGAGCAACGCCGCGUGAGUGAUGAAGGUCUUCGGAUCGUAAAACUCUGUUAUUAGGGAAGAACAAAUGUGUAAGUAACUAUGCACGUCUUGACGGUACCUAAUCAGAAAGCAACGGCUAACUACGUG
This 497-nucleotide ribosomal RNA is filed under the name uncultured bacterium. RNAcentral's name for it is "partial 16S ribosomal RNA". It matches the Rfam family "Bacterial small subunit ribosomal RNA", at positions 28 to 507 of the family's 1533-position model. The record is from RNAcentral.